This 466-nucleotide ribosomal RNA is filed under the name uncultured bacterium. RNAcentral's name for it is "partial 16S ribosomal RNA". It matches the Rfam family "Bacterial small subunit ribosomal RNA", at positions 28 to 507 of the family's 1533-position model. The record is from RNAcentral.
GACGAACGCUGGCGGCGCGCCUAACACAUGCAAGUCGAACGAGCGAGAGAGAGCUUGCUUUCUCAAGCGAGUGGCGAACGGGUGAGUAACGCGUGAGGAACCUGCCUCAAAAAGGGGGACAACAGUUGGAAACGACUGCUAAUACCGCAUAAGCCCACAGGUCGGCAUCGACCAGAGGGAAAAGGAGCAAUCCGCUUUGAGAUGGCCUCGCGUCCGAUUAGCUAGUUGGUGAGGUAACGGCCCACCAAGGCAACGAUCGGUAGCCGGACUGAGAGGUUGAACGGCCACAUUGGGACUGAGACACGGCCCAGACUCCUACGGGAGGCAGCAGUGGGGAAUAUUGCACAAUGGGGGAAACCCUGAUGCAGCGACGCCGCGUGGAGGAAGAAGGUCUUCGGAUUGUAAACUCCUGUUGUUGAGGAAGAUAAUGACGGUACUCAACAAGGAAGUGACGGCUAACUACGUG